GCCGGUGUAGCUCAGUUGGUUAGAGCACAGGACUCAUAAGCCUGGGGUCAGUGGUUCAAAUCCACUCAUCGGCACCA
RNAcentral lists this transfer RNA (77 nucleotides) under Candidatus Saccharimonadota bacterium. Its description in RNAcentral is "Candidatus Saccharibacteria bacterium tRNA-Met". It matches the Rfam family "tRNA". From Rfam's summary of the family: Transfer RNA (tRNA) molecules are approximately 80 nucleotides in length. Their secondary structure includes four short double-helical elements and three loops (D, anti-codon, and T loops). Further hydrogen bonds mediate the characteristic L-shaped molecular structure. tRNAs have two regions of fundamental functional importance: the anti-codon, which is responsible for specific mRNA codon recognition, and the 3' end, to which the tRNAs corresponding amino acid is attached (by aminoacyl-tRNA synthetases). tRNAs cope with the degeneracy of the genetic code in two manners: having more than one tRNA (with a specific anti-codon) for a particular amino acid; and 'wobble' base-pairing, i.e. permitting non-standard base-pairing at the 3rd anti-codon position. The record is from RNAcentral. Lineage: Bacteria; Candidatus Saccharimonadota.